GUCCACCCUCAGAAUUCUGCUUCAGUCAUUUUGGGUGGGGCUCCAGACUCACAGUUCUAACAAGUUCCCAGUGUGUGUGUGUGGGGGGGGGGUCCAGGUGUUAUCAGGUGGUGGGUUGUGGAACUCUUCAAUCCUUGUCUUCUCCAAGGAAGGAAUUCACUUGGAGAGACUCGACAGCAUAAAGGUGGUUGUGAUAUAAGCCGACUCUACUCUUGUGGUGAUCCAUGGUCAAGGCUGCAGUGGAGCUGACUUAUAACGAUGAAGCAAACAUGGACAGAGGUCAUUUGGUAUGGGAAGAAUUUCAGUCAUGUGGUAGAAGGGAAACCUGGAUGUAAGCAGCAAACUGUGGAUGUGCUAAGUAUAAGCACGAGCCAAUGCAUUGCUGUCUUCCGUGAAGGAAUUUUGUUUUUGAUCCUCCACUACUACCCCACAACAACCCUGAGGAUAUCUCCAACCUUGGAAAUGAAUGUCAUCUUUCCUUCCUCCUCCUCAUUCUUUUUUAAAGGGACAUUUUUGUUUCUUUGA
Molecule: long non-coding RNA, 525 nt
Filed under: Vulpes vulpes (red fox)
Lineage: Eukaryota; Metazoa; Chordata; Mammalia; Carnivora; Canidae
Description: lncRNA (ENSVVUG00000004543.1)
Source: RNAcentral